This 440-nucleotide ribosomal RNA is filed under the name uncultured bacterium. Its description in RNAcentral is "bacterial SSU rRNA". It matches the Rfam family "Bacterial small subunit ribosomal RNA", at positions 958 to 1397 of the family's 1533-position model. The record is from RNAcentral.
AACGCGAAGAACCUUACCUACUCUUGACAUCCACGGAAUUUGGCAGAGAUGCUUUAGUGCCUUCGGGAACCGUGAGACAGGUGCUGCAUGGCUGUCGUCAGCUCGUGUUGUGAAAUGUUGGGUUAAGUCCCGCAACGAGCGCAACCCUUAUCCUUUGUUGCCAGCACGUAAUGGUGGGAACUCAAAGGAGACUGCCGGUGAUAAACCGGAGGAAGGUGGGGAUGACGUCAAGUCAUCAUGGCCCUUACGAGUAGGGCUACACACGUGCUACAAUGGCAUAUACAAAGAGAAGCGAACUCGCGAGAGCAAGCGGACCUCAUAAAGUAUGUCGUAGUCCGGAUUGGAGUCUGCAACUCGACUCCAUGAAGUCGGAAUCGCUAGUAAUCGUAGAUCAGAAUGCUACGGUGAAUACGUUCCCGGGCCUUGUACACACCGCCCGU